This 918-nucleotide ribosomal RNA is filed under the name Lactiplantibacillus plantarum. RNAcentral's name for it is "bacterial SSU rRNA". It matches the Rfam family "Bacterial small subunit ribosomal RNA", at positions 67 to 957 of the family's 1533-position model. Lineage: Bacteria; Bacillati; Bacillota; Bacilli; Lactobacillales; Lactobacillaceae. The record is from RNAcentral.
CUCUGGUAUUGAUUGAUGCUUGCAUCAUGAUUUACAUUUGAGUGAGUGGCGAACUGGUGAGUAACACGUGGGAAACCUGCCCAGAAGCGGGGGAUAACACCUGGAAACAGAUGCUAAUACCGCAUAACAACUUGGACCGCAUGGUCCGAGCUUGAAAGAUGGCUUCGGCUAUCACUUUUGGAUGGUCCCGCGGCGUAUUAGCUAGAUGGUGGGGUAACGGCUCACCAUGGCAAUGAUACGUAGCCGACCUGAGAGGGUAAUCGGCCACAUUGGGACUGAGACACGGCCCAAACUCCUACGGGAGGCAGCAGUAGGGAAUCUUCCACAAUGGACGAAAGUCUGAUGGAGCAACGCCGCGUGAGUGAAGAAGGGUUUCGGCUCGUAAAACUCUGUUGUUAAAGAAGAACAUAUCUGAGAGUAACUGUUCAGGUAUUGACGGUAUUUAACCAGAAAGCCACGGCUAACUACGUGCCAGCAGCCGCGGUAAUACGUAGGUGGCAAGCGUUGUCCGGAUUUAUUGGGCGUAAAGCGAGCGCAGGCGGUUUUUUAAGUCUGAUGUGAAAGCCUUCGGCUCAACCGAAGAAGUGCAUCGGAAACUGGGAAACUUGAGUGCAGAAGAGGACAGUGGAACUCCAUGUGUAGCGGUGAAAUGCGUAGAUAUAUGGAAGAACACCAGUGGCGAAGGCGGCUGUCUGGUCUGUAACUGACGCUGAGGCUCGAAAGUAUGGGUAGCAAACAGGAUUAUAUACCCUGGUAGUCCAUACCGUAAACGAUGAAUGCUAUGUGUUGUACGGUUGCCGCCCUUCCCUGCUGCGCUAACGCAUUUAGGAUUCCGCCUGGGGUUUACGAUAGCACGUAGAAAACUCACACGAAUUGUUUUGGCCCGCACAAGCCCGGAUCUGUUGCUUAUUCUAAUUC